CCAGCACCCCGAGUGGUCGGGACGAUUAUUGGGCCUAAAGCAUCCGUAGCCGGUAUUACAAGUCCUCCGUUAAAUCCAACUGCUUAACAGAUGGGCCGCGGAGGAUACUAUAAGACUAGGAGGCAGGAGAGGCAAGCGGUACUCAGUGGGUAGGGGUAAAAUCCGUUGAUCCAUUGAAGACCACCAGUGGCGAAGGCGGCUUGCCAGAAUGCGCUCGACGGUGAGGGAUGAAAGCUGGGGGAGCAAACCGGAUUAGAUACCCGGGUAGUCCCAGCUGUAAACGAUGCAGACUCGGUGAUGGACUAGCUUUAUGCUAGUCCAGUGCCGCAGGGAAGCCGUUAAGUCUGCCGCCUGGGUAGUACGGUCGCAAGACUG
Molecule: ribosomal RNA, 375 nt
Filed under: uncultured organism
Description: bacterial SSU rRNA
Rfam family: Archaeal small subunit ribosomal RNA
Source: RNAcentral